UACGGAGGAUGCAAGCGUUAUCCGGAAUGAUUGGGCGUAAAGCGUCCGCAGGUGGCUAUGUAAGUCUGCUGUUAAAGAGUGAGGCUCAACCUCAUAAAAGCAGUGGAAACUACAUGGCUAGAGUGCGUUCGGGGCAGAGGGAAUUCCUGGUGUAGCGGUGAAAUGCGUAGAUAUCAGGAAGAACACCGGUGGUGUCAGCGCUCUCGUCGGCCGCAACUGACACUGAGGGACGAAAGCUAGGGGAGCGAAUGGU
This 253-nucleotide ribosomal RNA is filed under the name uncultured bacterium. RNAcentral's name for it is "partial 16S ribosomal RNA". It matches the Rfam family "Bacterial small subunit ribosomal RNA", at positions 524 to 776 of the family's 1533-position model. The record is from RNAcentral.